UGAUUGUGCUUGGGUUCUUAGUGCUAUCAGU
Molecule: non-coding RNA, 31 nt
Filed under: Rattus norvegicus (Norway rat)
Lineage: Eukaryota; Metazoa; Chordata; Mammalia; Rodentia; Muridae
Source: RNAcentral